RNAcentral lists this ribosomal RNA (286 nucleotides) under uncultured bacterium. Its description in RNAcentral is "partial 16S ribosomal RNA". It matches the Rfam family "Bacterial small subunit ribosomal RNA", at positions 773 to 1060 of the family's 1533-position model. The record is from RNAcentral.
GUGGAUUAGAUACCCGGGUUGUCCACACCGUAAACGUUGGGCGCUAGGUGUGGGAUCCAUUCCACGGGUUCCGUGCCGUAGCUAACGCAUUAAGCGCCCCGCCUGGGGAGUACGGCCGCAAGGCUAAAACUCAAAGGAAUUGACGGGGGCCCGCACAAGCGGCGGAGCAUGCGGAUUAAUUCGAUGCAACGCGAAGAACCUUACCUGGGUUUGACAUACGCCGGAAAGCGCCAGAGAUGGUGCCCCUUUUUGUCGGUGUACAGGUGGUGCACGGCCGUCGACAACU